GAUGAACGCUGGCGGCGUGCCUAAUACAUGCAAGUCGAGCGAACGGACGAGAAGCUUGCUUCUCUGAUGUUAGCGGCGGAAGGGGGAGUAAAACGUGGAUAACCUACCUAUAAGACUGGGAUAAAUUCGGGAAACCGGAGCUAAUACCGGAUAAUAUUUUGAACCGCAUGGUUCAAAAGUGAAAGACGGUCUUGCUGUCACUUAUAGAUGGAUCCGCGCUGCAUUAGCUAGUUGGUAAGGUAACGGCUUACCAAGGCAACGAUGCAUAGCCGACCUGAGAGGGUGAUCGGCCACACUGGAACUGAGACACGGUCCAGACUCCUACGGGAGGCAGCAGUAGGGAAUCUUCCGCAAUGGGCGAAAGCCUGACGGAGCAACGCCGCGUGAGUGAUGAAGGUCUUCGGAUCGUAAAACUCUGUUAUUAGGGAAGAACAUAUGUGUAAGUAACUGUGCACAUCUUGACGGUACCUAAUCAGAAAGCCACGGCUAACUACGUG
RNAcentral lists this ribosomal RNA (497 nucleotides) under uncultured bacterium. RNAcentral describes it as "partial 16S ribosomal RNA". It matches the Rfam family "Bacterial small subunit ribosomal RNA", at positions 28 to 507 of the family's 1533-position model. The record is from RNAcentral.